GCGGACAUAGCUCAAUGGUAGAGCCUCGGUCUUCCAAACCGAUGACGUGGGUUCGAUUCCCGCUGGCCGCUCCA
This 74-nucleotide transfer RNA is filed under the name Betaproteobacteria bacterium. RNAcentral's name for it is "tRNA-Gly". It matches the Rfam family "tRNA". From Rfam's summary of the family: Transfer RNA (tRNA) molecules are approximately 80 nucleotides in length. Their secondary structure includes four short double-helical elements and three loops (D, anti-codon, and T loops). The record is from RNAcentral. Lineage: Bacteria; Pseudomonadati; Pseudomonadota; Betaproteobacteria.